GUUCAGUAAUGUAGUCGGUGGACGUGUGUGUGUGUGUGUUCAGUAAUGUAGUCGGAGGACAUGUGUGUGUGUGUGUGUGUGUGUGUGUGUGUGUGUACAGUAAUGUAGUCGGAGGAUGUGUGUGUGUGUGUGUUCAGUAAUGUAGUCGGUGGACGUGUGUGUGUGUGUGUGUGUUAAUGUAGUCGGAGGACAUGUGUGUGUGUGUGUGUGUGUGUGUGUGUACAGUAAUGUAGUCGGUGGACGUGUGUGUGUGUGUGUGUACAGUAAUGUAGUCAGAGGACGUGUGUGUGUGUGUGUUCAGUAAUGUAGUCGGUGGACAUGUGUGUGUGUGUGUGUACAGUAAUGUAGUCGGAGGAUGUGUGUGUGUGUGUACAGUAAUGUAGUCGGUGGACAUGUGUGUGUGUGUGUGUGUGUGUACAGUAAUGUAGUCGGUGGACAUGUGUGUGUGUGUGUGUGUGUGUGUGUGUGUUCAGUAAUGUAGUCGGUGGACAUGUGUGUGUGUGUGUGUGUUCAGUAAU
Molecule: long non-coding RNA, 518 nt
Organism: Ictalurus punctatus (channel catfish)
Lineage: Eukaryota; Metazoa; Chordata; Actinopteri; Siluriformes; Ictaluridae
Source: Ensembl